UUGACUUUCUUAGUUCCUUACACACAUUGUGAAGUUCUCUUUUGAAUGCACUUUUGUCUUCUUUUUUAUUCUUUCUUCUUUCUCUAUUUUUAGGUUUCUUCUUUCUUCUCUGUUUCUAACAUUAACCACAGCUGUGUGCACACAAAGUUUUUCUUGCUUUGUUUUUUGUCAUGUAUUCUAUAUAUGCUAAUCUAUCCAUUUUUUCUCUUUUAAAUUUUCAAUCUAUUUAGUUUAGGUGUAUACUAAUUACUACACAAAUUUCUGCCUAUAAAUAAUAAGAGAUGGUGUCUUCUGAAUUAUUGCUAGACUUUUAGUAUCUACGUGAGAGAAAUAUAAGAGGAAUAUUAUUGAAUUGUGUAUCUACAUUAUAUAAAGAACCUUUUUGAUACAUAAGUUACUCGGAAUGAGACAUCAACUUCAGUCAAUAUACAUGCAAUAUUUUUGAUGUUUCAGUCAGUGUUUCGUAAUCAUUGUUUAAUAGCAAUUAAAAUUCAAUUAAUUUUGUUUGCAGGAAAAGGAACUUGGGAGGCCAAUAACUCAGGCUCAUACAUUCAAGGCUAUACACACAAGGAAGAGGAAAAUCCCUGGAGAUCCUGAUGUUUUGAGCCACAAGCUCAGCUGACCUAUGACGUCCUCCUCGACCUCCCUUGUCUCUAUCUAUUUCACAUGGAGUAUAUGGUCAAUACAGAGGUGUGAUUGAGGACCCCAACAGUGAUGAAGAUGAGGAAGAUUACUAUGUGGACAAUACACCAUCACGUUGUUAAAGUUAAAUGUUGUGCUAAAGAUUCUAAACGAUAUACUUUAUGGCGGUGUAUUUGAAUUACUAAGUGUUUUUGAAUGCAUUAAAACUUUAUAGUAAUCUGAACAAUAGUAUUGUAUAAAUAACUUAUAUUUUCUAUGUUUUGUUCGUUCAAUUUCAAUGUAUUUAAAUUUAAUUCUCA
Molecule: long non-coding RNA, 941 nt
Organism: Capsicum annuum
Lineage: Eukaryota; Viridiplantae; Streptophyta; Magnoliopsida; Solanales; Solanaceae
Exons: 2
Source: RefSeq, a predicted model, not a curated record